This 28-nucleotide small RNA is filed under the name Bombyx mori (domestic silkworm). RNAcentral describes it as "ovarian small RNA-7049". Lineage: Eukaryota; Metazoa; Arthropoda; Insecta; Lepidoptera; Bombycidae. The record is from RNAcentral.
UCAUCAAGCUCCUUGCGAAGCUGUAGGA